GGGAUUUCUGCCUAUACUAACAUGGUGUUAAAGGGUUGUCGAGAUCAUGUCAACGAUUCCAGAGCUUGUCCCAUACUAGACAACAUAUACAACAUCUCACUAAACAUUGGUUACGUCCGUGCUGCUAUGACUUCUCUGUGCUGCAACACCACAGGAUGUAAUAACAAAACCCUUUCUGUCCCCAGUGAAAAACCAAACGGACUACACUGCUUCACCUGUAAAAGUGAGAACGACACUGUGUGCAACCAAAAAGUUAUGGAAUGUGUUGGCAUUGAAGACCGCUGCUUCAUCCAAACCCAGGGCAUAAAUUCCACUCUCCGGGGAUGUGUGUCCAGAAAUUACUGUGACAGACUAUCUGGCAACUCUACCUGUUGUGAAAAAUGUCGGUGCAACAGAGCUAGUGGUAUGGGGGGCCUGUCUCUCUCACUCCUGCUGGCUCUUCCAGUCAUACUACUGCUGUUCUAGAAGACUUCCUCAAGUCAGACAAGCCACAAGAUUGCAAAAGAGUGACAGAGUUAGGGUUGGGUACAUGACAACACCAGACAUAUUUCAUAUAUCUAGUUUCUUUUUUCUUUCUACUAGGUGUUCGUAAAACACUGUGCAGUUAUUGUGCACCUGUCUUAUUUUAUCCGUUUUUAUAAAUCAGUUUGAUGGACUAUGUAUCAUGAUUACAUUAGCUGACUGUGGUUUGUAACUUUUUGACAAAAUAUGAAUGUAA
Molecule: long non-coding RNA, 718 nt
Organism: Osmerus eperlanus (European smelt)
Lineage: Eukaryota; Metazoa; Chordata; Actinopteri; Osmeriformes; Osmeridae
Exons: 3
Source: RefSeq, a predicted model, not a curated record